This 104-nucleotide small nuclear RNA is filed under the name Ochotona princeps (American pika). Lineage: Eukaryota; Metazoa; Chordata; Mammalia; Lagomorpha; Ochotonidae. The record is from RNAcentral.
GUGCUCGCUUCGGCAGUACAUAUACUAAAAUUGGAAUGAUACAGAGAUUAGCAUGGCCCCUGCACAAGGAUGACACGCAAAUUCAUGAUGUGUUCCAUAUUUUU